CCGAGUACCGGGUCUCCGGGCCCUUACUCCCACCCUUUGUGUACCUACCGAUUUUUCGUUGCCUCGGCGGGGUCGAUCCCUAGGGCCCCUGGCCCGUGGGGGACCCGCCGGGGGGACACGCCAAAACUCUUGUAAACGGUGACGUCUGAGAAACAUACAAACUAGUCA
Molecule: unclassified non-coding RNA, 168 nt
Filed under: uncultured Ascomycota
Lineage: Eukaryota; Fungi; Ascomycota
Description: sequence contains ITS1
Source: RNAcentral